GACGCGGUGGCCUAAUGGUUAAUGCGCGUUGUACUCCGGAUCGAGCGGUCUGGGUUCGAGCCCUGGUCGGGCUGUGUUG
RNAcentral lists this transfer RNA (79 nucleotides) under Desmophyllum pertusum. Its description in RNAcentral is "tRNA-Arg". Lineage: Eukaryota; Metazoa; Cnidaria; Anthozoa; Scleractinia; Caryophylliidae. The record is from RNAcentral.